This 24-nucleotide non-coding RNA is filed under the name Cricetulus griseus (Chinese hamster). The record is from RNAcentral. RNAcentral also lists the same sequence under 1 other name. Lineage: Eukaryota; Metazoa; Chordata; Mammalia; Rodentia; Cricetidae.
AUGUGGCUCUGUGGCGCAAUGGAU